This 207-nucleotide ribosomal RNA is filed under the name uncultured bacterium. RNAcentral describes it as "partial 16S ribosomal RNA". It matches the Rfam family "Bacterial small subunit ribosomal RNA", at positions 568 to 774 of the family's 1533-position model. The record is from RNAcentral.
CGCGUAGGCGGCCUGCUAAGUCUGAAGUGAAAGUCCUGCUUUCAAGGUGGGAAUUGCUUCGGAUACUGGUGGGCUGGAGUGCAGGAGAGGAAAGCGGAAUUACCGGUGUAGCGGUGAAAUGCGUAGAGAUCGGUAGGAACACCAGUGGCGAAGGCGGCUUUCUGGACUGAAACUGACGCUGAGGCGCGAAAGCGUGGGGAGCAAACA